GUGGCAGCAGCACAAGGCAUCAGCAACUCAAAUAAUCACACUUUAGAACUGUGGUGAGCAGAAAAGCAUCUCAGAAAUCACAAGUCAGACCUUGAGGUGGAUGAGCUACAACAGCAGAAGAGCACAUCAGGUUCCACUCCUGUCUGCCAAGAACAGGAAUCUGAGGCUGCAGUGGGCACAGACUCACCCACGCUGGACAGACAGAAAUUGGAAAAAUGUCACCUGGUUGUUACACAUUCAUUCACACCUGGAAGUAAUUUAUCUUAGCCAAUCCACCUACUGCCAUGUUUUGGGGAGGAAACUGGAGAACAUGGAAGAAAUCCACACAGACACAGGAAGAACAUGUGAACCUCUGCACAGACAUCAGAUAAACAAAUAAUUUUGGACAUAAUUUAUAAUCAGCGCUUUGUCUUCAACAAGCGGAUAAAAUGGAGAACCUCAGUGCAUUGAUGAAAGGAGAAGAAGAAAACUUAUCAGGGAGGCUUCCAAGAGACCUACAGCAACAUUAAAGGAGCCGCAGGAACAUCUGGUUCCUGUUUUACAGAUAGCACACUGAACUACAUCUCGCCUCAUUGGCACCAGCGCAGAAUUUUGUGAGAUGAUUUCAUUCUUCUAAUUAUUUCUCUCUCCAGUUCAGUUUCGAAAUUCAGUUUCUUGCCUUCAUGAGCUAUUCCAUAAAAGCUAGCUAGCUAGUGCCACAGCAAACUGUAAAUGUAAACUAAAUGGGUGUGAAAAUGUGCACAUUUUAACAGGAGAUGUAAAAUUGCUUUUUAUCUUUAUGAUCCUUAAAUGUGAUUAAAAAAAGCAAUGUGUUGUUUUUCAUGUUAAUUUGUAAAUGCAGUAAAGGUUUGGAUUUGUGCUGCUAAUAUGUUAAGAGAAUUUAAGUUAUACACAACAAAUUUCUUAUAGUUCCUACUUUACAGUUUGUGAAAAAAACAAGCGAAGUGUUC
Pangasianodon hypophthalmus (striped catfish) is the source of this 950-nucleotide long non-coding RNA. RefSeq lists it as uncharacterized. NCBI's taxonomy places the organism in Eukaryota, Metazoa, Chordata, Actinopteri, Siluriformes, Pangasiidae. The transcript has 3 exons. The record is from RefSeq and is a predicted model, not a curated record.